GCAGCUGGCGCUGUGAAAGCAACCAUCUGUUGAAAGCGGCCGGUAUCUGUCACGAAGAAGAAGCAAAAGGAAGCAGCGCGAGCUCAUGCAACCGGACGUGUAGAAGUUCCAACAGUCCAGUCGUCGUUCAGUCAUGCAUGGACCUCACUGGACGUGGUUUCUUGGGCUCACAUAAUCCCGCUUCACGUUGCAUCUUCUGGAAGGAAACGGACAGACUUCUCAAUAUCCAUAUGAGAGCAGAACCAACGCCAAGGAGGAACGUUGGCUACGUGCUACUAGGUGUGGCCAUACUCCGGGGAAGCCAACAACCAAGCACCCUCAUGGCUAACUUCAAUCAACUUGUACAGAUCUGCAGACUGCUAACCGUGGUAUCGACAUCAUGACUACAUGGGCUGCUUGUCGCUCUACUGGUUAUAUGCCCCUGUGGAGGCUCUAAUUUGUCCAUACAAAUCUGUUGACACAAAACACUGCUCGCAAUAUUUGCUUGUAUGCCUCUGCGGGAUAUUUCUACAUGUACAUUUAUCGAAUAACCAACAUGCUAAAGACAUGCUUGCUUUUUUAAAUCAAAAUUUCUCCCAGUUGACAUGUACAGCAGCACCAUGGAUUGAUGCCGACAAGCAUAACCCGAUCUCACCAGCACAAAAUUGCGCCGAGAAACAAGCUCAUAGCGAUUUCGGAAACAUAGUGCUUUCAUAAUGACACAGAACGCAACAGUGCUUUCCUAGGGAGCUUGCAUCUUUCUGGGCAAGCAAACGAAGCUUUCAAGAGGAUGUAGAGCUUCCUGCAUGUGGUGCCUUUUCCAGAGUGAAACGUGAAAUAUUGUACCUUGUUAAUGCACUGGGACGUCCCACUUAUAACACCAGGUACCCUCCAAGUACUACUAUUCUGGGACGUCACUCUUAACAUUUCACAGGCGAGCAACGUGUUCGAUAUUUAUGCCUUCACAUCCUGGGCAACAUGUACCAUCCUCCGCUGUACAGCUGUAAAGUACAUGGAGGUAUAACUGCUUCAUGCGAUCACCCCCUUCUCCCCCGCUCUUGUGACCUCCGUUUACACGACUGAUGUAUUUUUAACAGGACACACUUAACAGUAAACCAGGAACACAAAGAUCUUUCACAAGUACCGGCGAUCACUAUAGUGUGCAACAAAUCGUUAAAUGUAUCAACCAGAACCAGCAAGGGCAGCACAGCAAACACUAUUGUUAAUGAUGCAUAACGGAGGCACUAGGUGUUGUAUUUAAGGAACCACGCAUAAUCAGCGCCGCUUUUGUUGCUGGAGGUAACAGCUGUUUGUGCACGACUUCCGGUCAGCUUUGGAUCGGAAAGCGACUUGUGUGUAGCUGCCAAUGUUGACAUCACUAACGUGGACGAUAUCUGUUCUAAAUUUGCAGAGCGGAUUUCAAAAUUCCGCUCCAUACCGAUAACUUUUUUUGGCGGGGGGUUUAUUGCCUCACAUACUUCGCUCACGGGUCUAUCACAACGUUGUUUUUCCUUAAUUUCUGCAAUUUCGUCUUGAAAAGUAUGCAACAGUAUCUAGCAAAAACUAUUUUGGGUUUUUUCUCGAAAUGCUCAGUUACAGCUGCUCCGCGCUAGACCGGCUUUAAACUACCCCCCCCCCCCUUAGUUUAAAUCUCUCCUAUGCGAAUACAUGAGAGUUAGACCAUUACUAGAUCGCCGGGUUUAUGCCGUGUGAACGGCGAAAAAAAUGACAUUGCGGGCAAAUAUUCAUUGGAGUGCAACCACAUCCGCCUAACGAACGCUUCUAGUCGACAGGUAAGUCUAAACUUACCAGUAAUUCGCCUAAAAAUUUCCGGCGAAGCGUAGAUUAGGCCUAUGCAUUGCGCACACAAACUCCAUGGAGGCCACCAAGGGUCUCACGGCAGUCGGCUUAGAACAGCAGGGUGGUGAUUGGUGGUUUGCGGACGAAGUUCUCAGACGUCACUAAACCAGUGACUAAGUGGGACUGCUGAAUACGGGAAAGUAAAUUCACUCUUCCCGGACAAUAAACCGCAUCGUCUGCGUGUCAUCAGACGCCAGACAAUGAUGGAUAGCGUGGGAAAACCAAUCUGAAAUGGCGCGCUCACUCUGCGAUUUCCUAGUUCUGGUACCAUCUCAACCACCACACACUAACAGCUGCGACUUCGCUCCAAUUUCCAGCUACCGAUCAUUUUUACUAUGUAUCCUAACGUAUGCAUUGCAUUGUCGUGUUCAUCACGUGCGUCCAGGUUCGUACUGUUCGUGUGUGGACAAACAUUACUGUUCGGUCGGUGCUAUUGAAUGGAAUAGGCUCCCUAGUGCGCCGAAAUGAAUGUCUCGUAAGUCUUUUGUCGAUGUCUACUAGCUAGAGAGUCUGCGGUAUGGGCUUCUGGCUGCUUCUCAUGGCUGGCUCUCUUCUGUUUACAGAGUAAUUAAGCCAGACGCAUUGGUGCACCGAGCAACUCUUAAUCGUAAUAUAAUGGACCCAAGCGUAUGCAGGGCUACAGGACCGUCACCCUGGCAGGGACCUGGCAUGCCGUCUAUGCAGUCAUCAUUCGUUGAGUCGCUGUCAUUCAGGCAUGUGACUGGGUUCCAACCGCUGCCUUUGAAAACAGCGGAAGUGCUCUCUUUUAGCGCUGCGGCCCUUAUAACUGCCUACACGGAUGCUUAUAGACCACUCACAGCUCCAUGCCGGAGUGUCACCCAGGCGAAUCCAAAAGAAUUGGUGUGCCACAAGGAAUGAUAUCAUGAUAUAGUGAUCAAACGUAAUUUGUACCUUGAAACCGACACCAUCCGAUUCGACAAAUGGGGCGGUACGUUUGACAGCACUGUCAAAGUAGCGUACGACUCGGAUUGCACUAUGCCGGCAAAGAUGUGUUGGUCUUUCCAAAACCAUAACUUCACGGGCGGCUACGUCAUCUUCGACGUCCACUUUCACUACCUGUGUUCAGCACCACCAGCAUUCGUAGUUUCCAAGUGUGACUUUGGCGUUGUGAAGCGGGCAAAAGUUAAUAUGAACAAGAACUACCAGGGGAUAAAGUGCGGGGACUCGUGCUGAUAAGCUCAUGUGAAGAAUGUGAUUACCGUUUGGAUGCGGAGUAUUGUUUACAUGGCCGUGAAGCAAUCUGAUGUGAUAUGAUGCAAUAUAUGAUGUUCCAUCCAUGA
Ornithodoros turicata is the source of this 3140-nucleotide RNA transcript. RefSeq lists it as uncharacterized. Lineage: Eukaryota; Metazoa; Arthropoda; Arachnida; Ixodida; Argasidae. The transcript has 6 exons. The record is from RefSeq and is a predicted model, not a curated record.